This 449-nucleotide ribosomal RNA is filed under the name uncultured bacterium. Its description in RNAcentral is "bacterial SSU rRNA". It matches the Rfam family "Bacterial small subunit ribosomal RNA", at positions 354 to 796 of the family's 1533-position model. The record is from RNAcentral.
GUGGGGAAUCUUGCGCAAUGGGCGGAAGCCUGACGCAGCAACGCCGCGUGAGGGAAGACGGCCUUCGGGUUGUAAACCUCUUUCAGGGGGGACGAAGCUUCCGGGGUUAAUAGCCCACGGGGUGACGGUACCCCCAGAAGAAGCCCCGGCUAACUACGUGCCAGCAGCCGCGGUAAUACGUAGGGGGCGAGCGUUGUCCGGAAUCAUUGGGCGUAAAGCGCGUGUAGGCGGCUUGGUAAGUCCGGUGUGAAACCUUGGGGCUCAACCCCAAGCCUGCACUGGAUACUGCCUCGCUUGAGUCCGGGAGGGGAGAGCGGAAUUCCUAGUGUAGCGGUGAAAUGCGCAGAUAUUAGGAAGAACACCGGUGGCGAAGGCGGCUCUCUGGAACGGUACUGACGCUGAGACGCGAAAGCGUGGGGAGCGAACAGGAUUAGAUACCCUGGUAGUCC